CUGUUCCUGUUGGUGUUCGUUUCCCUUUUCUCCCCUGUGUGUGUUGUUUGUGUCUGUCUCCCCCUGCUGUGCAGUCAGAGGUUCUUGGUCAGCGGGCGUGGCCAUUCUAUCACCAGAGCAGUUACAUCAAGCUGCAGCUCAUUGGCACCAAUCAAGCAGCAGAUAUCUACCCGGGCUGGACACCUCUCCAGCGCCAGUUCGUUCCUACACUUCCAGUGAUCUCUUCUGUUCCUGCUGCCUGCCUGCCUGCCUGCCAUUCCCACGCCGCUACCUGAUCCUCUGUUGCCUGACAUCCUCGUUAUCCAGCUCUCAGGACUACUGGCUCUCCACCCCACUCAGCUCCUACCCCAGCCUGAAGCUACUUCACCCUGACUACUUCUCUCUGCCAAUACACGUUGAAUAAACUACAUCCUAAUUUUA
Coregonus clupeaformis (lake whitefish) is the source of this 420-nucleotide long non-coding RNA. RefSeq lists it as uncharacterized. The record is from RefSeq and is a predicted model, not a curated record. The transcript is spliced from 2 exons. Lineage: Eukaryota; Metazoa; Chordata; Actinopteri; Salmoniformes; Salmonidae.